AACAUUUUAUCUCCUCUGAGGCCUCCUGGACCGCAGACCUGCUGGUGGAUUUCAGCUUCAAAAUACCCUCUAAAAAUCCAAGAGUCGGCAGGACGGACCCGUGCCAGGGCACCCAGAGGACAUCCUUCCAGCUUGCUUUCCAAACGGAAGGCUCUUAGUUGGUGCCACGCUUCUCGAAAUCCAGGAGAGCAGACAUGUGUCCCUGGAUGCCACGUUUGCUUCCAACAUGCUACUCGUUUUCCCCGUAGAAGAGACGCCUGCUGCCAUGUCAUUCCCCAUGGAGACGCUUGGCCCGAGUAUUUUAUCCAUUUAUCAAGCCAGAUCAUCAACCAAACCAUCUCACCGCCCGAUCUGUUCUUACGCACCCCCACCACCACCACAGCUAUCAGCCCAAGCCAUGGAAGUGAAAACUGCUCUCUGCCUCCCAGUUUGCAAUAUCUCUGGCACGAUGGGGUACUCAGCUUCCCUGUCUCUACUUUCCCAGUGCAGAUGCCUGUAGGAGAAGAAAGGAGCAUAUCAGGACUUAAAGCAUCUCUAGGAAAUAAUUGUGGCUGUGUAAACGCUGUGAUUUAGAGCUUUGGCAUUGCUGUUAAGCUGCGCCAGGAUGUGGGUAUAUAAUAUCCUGAAUAAUCCCAGGUGGUGAAGCAAGUCUGCAGAGAAGUUCCCUAAAUGGGUAUCUAUCAAAACUGGAAAUGGAAAUGGAAGAUCAUUGUCUGCCUCAAAACCUGGCUUCCAUUCAAACAUUUUUAAAGUUGAAAGUCUUCAUCCUUUCAGCUGUUCUGAUGGAGGAACUCUGCACCAAGAGUCUUACCUGACACUUCAAAAUGUUUAGAUAUAUUAAAGUGACCAYUGUCAAUUCAAUCAUUUGCUGUUUGCAUUAGUGCGUUAACAUCUAAUUUACCAGCGGCUCAGCUUUAUCUCUUACUUUAAGUAUAACCCAACUUUAUAUAUCCCCACUCAAUAACACUUCAUCAAAUGCCUUCACAAUCGCUUUUUUUUUUGCCUUCUGCAAGACAAUGCUGCUGCUUCGUCAUAACCUUUGUCAUAAACUGUUUCCAUUAUUUGUGAAUGCUGCUUUUGUAUUGCUGUGCUUCAGAUGCGGCAUAGUUAAUGAUGUCUUUUGUGAUGGUAUGCAUUUUUGUGCUAAACAGCUUUUUCUUUUAAUGUAUCUUUACAUUUACUGCAGUAUGUGCCAAUUGCUUAUCCAUAUACCGUGUUUAUGCUUUGUCAGAUUGACUCCAGCUUCCUCCCUUGUUCACUGACACAAACACAUUUUUUCACUAGUCCAGCACUUUCCCACUGUUCUUCACGACAUAAUGGUCAGUGCCAACAGUCUUGUUUCUGAUUACAGAUCAUAAAUAAUUCAAUCUCUAAUUAGUCUUAAUGCACUUCUUAAAUGCACAUGGGUUAGUUUUAAAAUGUCACUCUGCAAUGUAAUGGUCAAUUUUUUUAGCUAUGCUCUGCUUUUGUGUAAAGAAAAUGUAUUCCUGAACUUUUUUGGUUUUGUCAAGCAAUUUGCAGUCUUCAUUAUAUUCUCUCUGGAAUAAUUGGAAGAGCUUCAGUGCAGCUAGAAUUGCUUCGUGUUCUUUCUAUAAUAUACUUGCUCUUUAUCUGAUAGUACUUUAACGUAUCUCAGUAACUUUGGGGAAUUCUGCAGACACCUUCUCCAGAUUCCCUUCCAUGGGGAAUUCUGAUACAUCAUGUUUAUCAUGAUUUUUAAUACCAUACAAUAAAGGUCUGAUACAGAAAAGUAUUUUUCA
This is a long non-coding RNA of Apteryx rowi (Okarito brown kiwi), 1760 nucleotides long. The record is from Ensembl. NCBI's taxonomy places the organism in Eukaryota, Metazoa, Chordata, Aves, Apterygiformes, Apterygidae.